Molecule: transfer RNA, 87 nt
Filed under: Candidatus Kaiserbacteria bacterium RIFCSPHIGHO2_02_FULL_50_50
Lineage: Bacteria; Candidatus Kaiseribacteriota
Also listed under: 1 other name
Description: tRNA-Tyr
Rfam family: tRNA
About the family: Transfer RNA (tRNA) molecules are approximately 80 nucleotides in length.
Source: RNAcentral
GCGUCGAUGGCAGAGCGGUCAAAUGCAUCAGACUGUAAAUCUGACGGACUACGUCCUACGUUGGUUCAAAUCCAACUCGGCGCACUA